UCCCUGAUGGUCCAGUGGUUAGGACUCAGCACUUCCAAUGCAGAGGGUGCAGGUUCAAUCCCUAGUCAGGGAA
This 73-nucleotide transfer RNA is filed under the name Ovis aries (sheep). It matches the Rfam family "tRNA". From Rfam's summary of the family: Transfer RNA (tRNA) molecules are approximately 80 nucleotides in length. Their secondary structure includes four short double-helical elements and three loops (D, anti-codon, and T loops). Further hydrogen bonds mediate the characteristic L-shaped molecular structure. tRNAs have two regions of fundamental functional importance: the anti-codon, which is responsible for specific mRNA codon recognition, and the 3' end, to which the tRNAs corresponding amino acid is attached (by aminoacyl-tRNA synthetases). tRNAs cope with the degeneracy of the genetic code in two manners: having more than one tRNA (with a specific anti-codon) for a particular amino acid; and 'wobble' base-pairing, i.e. permitting non-standard base-pairing at the 3rd anti-codon position. The record is from Rfam by way of RNAcentral. Lineage: Eukaryota; Metazoa; Chordata; Mammalia; Artiodactyla; Bovidae.